AUAUUCAUUUCAGCAGCAUAUAUGCAUCUAGAGUAACAAGGAGAAGAUCAGCAUGGCCCCUGAACAAAGAUGACAUGCAGAUUUAUAAAGUGUUCCAUACAUUU
Small nuclear RNA from Sorex fumeus (smoky shrew), 104 nucleotides. The record is from RefSeq and is a predicted model, not a curated record. Lineage: Eukaryota; Metazoa; Chordata; Mammalia; Eulipotyphla; Soricidae.